RNAcentral lists this ribosomal RNA (497 nucleotides) under uncultured bacterium. RNAcentral's name for it is "partial 16S ribosomal RNA". It matches the Rfam family "Bacterial small subunit ribosomal RNA", at positions 28 to 507 of the family's 1533-position model. The record is from RNAcentral.
GAUGAACGCUGGCGGCGUGCCUAAUACAUGCAAGUCGAGCGAACGGACGAGAAUCUUGCUUCUCUGAUGUUAGCGGCGGACGGGUGAGUAACACGUGGAUAACCUACCUAUAAGACUGGGAUAACUUCGGGAAACCGUAGCUAAUACCGGAUAAUAUUUUGAACCGCAUGGUUCAAAAGUGAAAGACGGUCUUGCUGUCACUUAUAGAUGGAUCCGCGCUGCAUUGGCUAGUUGGUAAGGUAACGGCUUACCAAGGCAACGAUGCAUAGCCGACCUGAGAGGGUGAUCGGCCACACUGGAACUGAGACACGGUCCAGACUCCUACGGGAGGCAGCAGUAGGGAAUCUUCCGCAAUGGGCGAAAGCCUGACGGAGCAACGCCGCGUGAGUGAUGAAGGUCUUCGGAUCGUAAAACUCUGUUAUUAGGGAAGAACAUAUGUGUAAGUAACUGUGCACAUCUUGACGGUACCUAAUCAGAAAGCCACGGCUAACUACGUG